GACGAACGCUGGCGGCGGGCUUAACACAUGCACUUUGAAGGGAAAGGCCCUGCUUUUGUGGGGUGCUCGAGUGGCGAACGGGUGAGUAACACGUGAGUAACCUGCCCUUGACUUUGGGAUAACUUCAGGAAACUGGGGCUAAUACCGGAUAGGAGCUCCUGCUGCAUGGUGGGGGUUGGAAAGUUUCGGCGGUUGGGGAUGGACUCGCGGCUUAUCAGCUUGUUGGUGGGGUAGUGGCUUACCAAGGCUUUGACGGGUAGCCGGCCUGAGAGGGUGACCGGCCACAUUGGGACUGAGAUACGGCCCAGACUCCUACGGGAGGCAGCAGUGGGGAAUAUUGCACAAUGGGCGGAAGCCUGAUGCAGCAACGCCGCGUGCGGGAUGACGGCCUUCGGGUUGUAAACCGCUUUCGCCUGUGACGAAGCGUGAGUGACGGUAAUGGGUAAAGAAGCACCGGCUAACUACGUGCCAGCAGCCGCGGUGAUACGUAGGGUGCGAGCGUUGUCCGGAUUUAUUGGGCGUAAAGGGCUCGUAGGUGGUUGAUCGCGUCGGAAGUGUAAUCUUGGGGCUUAACCCUGAGCGUGCUUUCGAUACGGGUUGACUUGAGGAAGGUAGGGGAGAAUGGAAUUCCUGGUGGAGCGGUGGAAUGCGCAGAUAUCAGGAGGAACACCAGUGGCGAAGGCGGUUCUCUGGGCCUUUCCUGACGCUGAGGAGCGAAAGCGUGGGGAGCGAACAGGCUUAGAUACCCUGGUAGUCCACGCUGUAAACGGUGGGUACUAGGUGUGGGGUCCAUUCCACGGGUUCCGUGCCGUAGCUAACGCUUUAAGUACCCCGCCUGGGGAGUACGGCCGCAAGGCUAAAACUCAAAGGAAUUGACGGGGCCCCGCACAAGCGGCGGAGCAUGCGGAUUAAUUCGAUGCAACGCGUAGAACCUUACCUGGGUUUGACAUGGAUCGGGAGUGCUCAGAGAUGGGUGUGCCUCUUUUGGGGUCGGUUCACAGGUGGUGCAUGCCUGUCGUCAGCUCGUGUCGUGAGAUGUUGGGUUAAGUCCCGCAACGAGCGCAACCCUUGUUCACUGUUGCCAGCACGUUAUGGUGGGGACUCAGUGGAGACCGCCGGGGUCAACUCGGAGGAAGGUGGGGAUGACGUCAAGUCCUCAUGCCCCUUAUGUCCAGGGCUUCACGCAUGCUACAAUGGCUGGUACAGAGAGUGGCGAGCCUGUGAGGGUGAGCGAAUCUCGGAAAGCCGGUCUCAGUUCGGAUUGGGGUCUGCAACUCGACCUCAUGAAGUCGGAGUCGCUAGUAAUCGCAGAUCAGCAACGCUGCGGUGAAAACGUUCCCGGGGCU
RNAcentral lists this ribosomal RNA (1346 nucleotides) under uncultured bacterium. Its description in RNAcentral is "bacterial SSU rRNA". It matches the Rfam family "Bacterial small subunit ribosomal RNA", at positions 28 to 1381 of the family's 1533-position model. The record is from RNAcentral.